CCUACGGGGGGCAGCAGUGGGGAAUAUUGCACAAUGGGGGAAACCCUGAUGCAGCGACGCCGCGUGAGUGAAGAAGUAUUUCGGUAGGUAAAGCUCUAUCAGCAGGGAAGAAGCAAGACGGUACCGGACUAAGAAGCCCCGGCUAACUACGUGCCAGCAGCCGCGGUAAGACGUAGGGGGCAAGCGUUAUCCGGAUUUACUGGGUGUAAAGGGAGCGUAGAGGGUAUGGCCCGUCUGAAGGGAAAGCCCCGGGCUUAACCCUGGGACUGCCUUGGAAACUGUUAGACUAGAGUGCUGGAGAGGUAAGUGGACUUCCUAGUGUAGCGGUGCAAUGCGUAGAUAUUAGG
RNAcentral lists this ribosomal RNA (347 nucleotides) under uncultured bacterium. RNAcentral describes it as "partial 16S ribosomal RNA". It matches the Rfam family "Bacterial small subunit ribosomal RNA", at positions 338 to 701 of the family's 1533-position model. The record is from RNAcentral.